RNAcentral lists this ribosomal RNA (484 nucleotides) under uncultured bacterium. RNAcentral's name for it is "partial 16S ribosomal RNA". It matches the Rfam family "Bacterial small subunit ribosomal RNA", at positions 30 to 507 of the family's 1533-position model. The record is from RNAcentral.
AUUGAACGCUGGCGGCAGGCCUAACACAUGCAAGUCGAGCGGAUGAAGGGAGCUUGCUCCUGGAUUCAGCGGCGGACGGGUGAGUAAUGCCUAGGAAUCUGCCUGGUAGUGGGGGAUAACGUCCGGAAACGGGCGCUAAUACCGCAUACGUCCUGAGGGAGAAAGUGGGGGAUCUUCGGACCUCACGCUAUCAGAUGAGCCUAGGUCGGAUUAGCUAGUUGGUGGGGUAAAGGCCUACCAAGGCGACGAUCCGUAACUGGUCUGAGAGGAUGAUCAGUCACAGGGGAGAUGAGACACGGUGGAGACUAGUCCGGGCGUCAGCAGUGGGGUUUAUUGGAGAAGGGGCGCAAUUCUGAACCAGCUAUAGGGGGGGGGGGAAGAAAGUAUUUGGAUUGUAAAGCCUUUUUGCUUGGAAAGAAAAGCAGCAGGGUAAUACCUCGCUGUUCGGACGGUAGGAAAAGAAUAAGAACCGGCUAACUUGGUG